This 395-nucleotide ribosomal RNA is filed under the name uncultured bacterium. Its description in RNAcentral is "partial 16S ribosomal RNA". It matches the Rfam family "Bacterial small subunit ribosomal RNA", at positions 338 to 730 of the family's 1533-position model. The record is from RNAcentral.
CCUACGGGAGGCAGCAGUGAGGAAUAUUGGUCAAUGGGCGUAAGCCUGAACCAGCCAAGUCGCGUGAGGGAUGAAGGUUCUAUGGAUCGUAAACCUCUUUUAUAAGGGAAUAAAGUGUGGGACGUGUCCUGUUUUGCAUGUACCUUAUGAAUAAGGAUCGGCUAAUUCCGUGCCAGCAGCCGCGGUAAUACGGAGGGUCCGGGCGUUAUCCGGAUUUAUUGGGUUUAAAGGGUGCGUAGGCGGCCUUUUAAGUCAGCGGUGAAAUGCUGUGGCUCAACCGUGGAAUUGCAGUGGAAACUGGGGGGCUUGAGUGUGUCUGAGGCAGGCGGAAUGCGUGGUGUAGCGGUGAAAUGCUUAGAUAUCACGCAGAACCCCGAUUGCGAAGGCAGCCUACC